This 499-nucleotide ribosomal RNA is filed under the name uncultured bacterium. Its description in RNAcentral is "partial 16S ribosomal RNA". It matches the Rfam family "Bacterial small subunit ribosomal RNA", at positions 28 to 507 of the family's 1533-position model. The record is from RNAcentral.
GACGAACGCUGGCGGCGUGCCUAAUACAUGCAAGUCGAGCGAAGUUUUUCUGGUGCUUGCACCGUAAAAACUUAGCGGCGAACGGGUGAGUAACACGUAAAGAACCUGCCUCAUAGACUGGGACAACUAUUGGAAACGAUAGCUAAUACCGGAUAACAGCAUUAACUGCAUGGUUGAUGUUUAAAAGUUGGUUUUGCUAACACUAUGAGAUGGCUUUGCGGUGCAUUAGCUAGUUGGUGGGGUAAAGGCCUACCAAGGCGACGAUGCAUAGCCGACCUGAGAGGGUGAUCGGCCACACUGGGACUGAGACACGGCCCAGACUCCUACGGGAGGCAGCAGUAGGGAAUCUUCCGCAAUGGGCGAAAGCCUGACGGAGCAACGCCGCGUGAGUGAAGAAGGAUUUCGGUUCGUAAAGCUCUGUUGUUAGGGAAGAAUGAUUGUGUAGUAACUAUACACAGUAGAGACGGUACCUAACCAGAAAGCCACGGCUAACUACGUG